Molecule: ribosomal RNA, 468 nt
Filed under: uncultured bacterium
Lineage: Bacteria
Description: partial 16S ribosomal RNA
Rfam family: Bacterial small subunit ribosomal RNA
Source: RNAcentral
GACGAACGCUGGCGGCGUGCUUAACACAUGCAAGUCGAACGGAAAGGCCCUGCUUUUGUGGGGUACUCGAGUGGCGAACGGGUGAGUAACACGUGAGUAACCUGCCCUUGACUUUGGGAUAACUUCAGGAAACUGGGGCUAAUACCGGAUAGGAGCUCCUGCUGCAUGGUGGGGGUUGGAAAGUUUCGGCGGUUGGGGAUGGACUCGCGGCUUAUCAGCUUGUUGGUGGGGUAGUGGCUUACCAAGGCUUUGACGGGUAGCCGGCCUGAGAGGGUGAACGGCCACAUUGGGACUGAGAUACGGCCCAGACUCCUACGGGAGGCAGCAGUGGGGAAUAUUGCACAAUGGGCGGAAGCCUGAUGCAGCAACGCCGCGUGCGGGAUGACGGCCUUCGGGUUGUAAACCGCUUUCGCCUGUGACGAAGCGUGAGUGACGGUAAUGGGUAAAGAAGCACCGGCUAACUACGUG